Molecule: regulatory RNA element, 132 nt
Organism: Alkaliphilus metalliredigens QYMF
Lineage: Bacteria; Bacillati; Bacillota; Clostridia; Peptostreptococcales; Natronincolaceae
Rfam family: Ribosomal protein L10 leader
About the family: This family is a putative r-protein leader autoregulatory structure found in B. subtilis and other low-GC Gram-positive bacteria.
Source: Rfam
UUAAAAGUGAAUAUUUUGCCGCAGAAAGUAGGUGCGUUAGCUUAAAUAUCCUACCGAGGCUUUGGAUAAAUUUAUCAAAGAUCUCUUUCUGUGUGACGUUAUUUACGCAGAGAGGGAUCUUUUUCUGUAACG